AGAAACUUAGGAUAACAUCUUAAACCAAGGACCUUCAAAGCCCUCAACAGGGGCGCAAUCCCCCUAGUUUCUG
RNAcentral lists this transfer RNA (73 nucleotides) under Stenocercus chota. RNAcentral describes it as "tRNA-Trp". Lineage: Eukaryota; Metazoa; Chordata; Lepidosauria; Squamata; Tropiduridae. The record is from RNAcentral.